AUUGAACGCUGGCGGCAUGCUUUACACAUGCAAGUCGAACGGUAACAGGGUGCUUGCACCGCUGACGAGUGGCGAACGGGUGAGUAAUGCGUCGGAACGUGCCGAGUAGUGGGGGAUAACGCAGCGAAAGUUGUGCUAAUACCGCAUACGUACUGAGGUAGAAAGUGGGGGACCUUUGGGCCUCACGCUAUUCGAGCGGCCGACGUCUGAUUAGCUAGUAGGUGGGGUAAAGGCUCACCUAGGCGACGAUCAGUAGCGGGUCUGAGAGGAUGCUCCGCCACACUGGGACGGAGACACGGCCCAGACUCCUACGGGAGGCAGCAGUGGGGAAUCUUCCACAAUGGACGAAAGUCUGAUGGAGCAACGCCGCGUGAGUGAAGAAGGUUCUCGGAUCGUAAAACUCUGUUGUGAGGGAAGAACUAGUACCGGAGUAACUGCCGGUGCCUUGACGGUACCUCAUUAGAAAGCCACGGCUAACUACGUGCCAGCAGCCGCCGUAA
This 500-nucleotide ribosomal RNA is filed under the name uncultured bacterium. RNAcentral describes it as "partial 16S ribosomal RNA". It matches the Rfam family "Bacterial small subunit ribosomal RNA", at positions 30 to 523 of the family's 1533-position model. The record is from RNAcentral.